CGGGUGUGUAAGCGCAGCGAUGCGUUGAGCUAACCGGUACUAAUGAACCGUGAGGCUUAACCUCACCACGCCGAAGC
Molecule: ribosomal RNA, 77 nt
Filed under: Klebsiella pneumoniae
Lineage: Bacteria; Pseudomonadati; Pseudomonadota; Gammaproteobacteria; Enterobacterales; Enterobacteriaceae
Description: partial 23S ribosomal RNA
Source: RNAcentral